GGGUUGCAGCUCAGUGGUACAGCACUCGCCUAGCACGUGCAAGGUACUGAGUUCGAUCCUCAGCAACACA
RNAcentral lists this transfer RNA (70 nucleotides) under Marmota monax (woodchuck). Its description in RNAcentral is "tRNA.Ala". The record is from RNAcentral. Lineage: Eukaryota; Metazoa; Chordata; Mammalia; Rodentia; Sciuridae.